This 76-nucleotide transfer RNA is filed under the name Alphaproteobacteria bacterium. RNAcentral describes it as "tRNA-Phe". It matches the Rfam family "tRNA". From Rfam's summary of the family: Transfer RNA (tRNA) molecules are approximately 80 nucleotides in length. Their secondary structure includes four short double-helical elements and three loops (D, anti-codon, and T loops). Lineage: Bacteria; Pseudomonadati; Pseudomonadota; Alphaproteobacteria. The record is from RNAcentral.
GGCCAGGUAGCUCAGUUGGUAGAGCAAAGGAUUGAAGCUCCUUGUGUCGACGGUUCGAGUCCGCCUCUGGCCACCA